This 468-nucleotide ribosomal RNA is filed under the name uncultured bacterium. RNAcentral describes it as "partial 16S ribosomal RNA". It matches the Rfam family "Bacterial small subunit ribosomal RNA", at positions 28 to 507 of the family's 1533-position model. The record is from RNAcentral.
GACGAACGCUGGCGGCGUGCUUAACACAUGCAAGUCGAACGGGAAGUCCCUGCUUUUGUGGGGUGCUCGAGUGGCGAACGGGUGAGUAACACGUGAGUAACCUGCCCUUGACUUUGGGAUAACUUCAGGAAACUGGGGCUAAUACCGGAUAGGAGCUCCUGCUGCAUGGUGGGGGUUGGAAAGUUUCGGCGGUUGGGGUUGGACUCGCGGCUUAUCAGCUUGUUGGUGGGGUAGUGGCUUACCAAGGCUUUGACGGGUAGCCGGCCUGAGAGGGUGACCGGCUACACUGGGACUGAGAUACGGCCCGGACUCCUCCGCGAGGGAGCAGUGCAGUAUAUUGCACAAUGGGCUGAAGCCUGACGCAGCCCAGCCGCGUGCGGGAUGACGGCAUUCGGGUUGUAUACCGAUUUCGCCUGUGACGAAGCGUGAGUGACGGUAAUGGGUAAAGAAGCACCGGCUAACUCCGUG